AUUCAUGUGGAGGAUGGAUUGGAUCCCUGCUUUCAGUCACUUUCUGAAGAGUCAAGCUUAACUCCACCUAUACUCAAAGCCCACAGGGGUACCAGAGCCACUUGAUGAAGCCAGGG
Lonchura striata (white-rumped munia) is the source of this 116-nucleotide non-coding RNA. The record is from RefSeq and is a predicted model, not a curated record. NCBI's taxonomy places the organism in Eukaryota, Metazoa, Chordata, Aves, Passeriformes, Estrildidae.